This is a long non-coding RNA of Lycium ferocissimum, 583 nucleotides long. RefSeq lists it as uncharacterized. Lineage: Eukaryota; Viridiplantae; Streptophyta; Magnoliopsida; Solanales; Solanaceae. The transcript is spliced from 3 exons. The record is from RefSeq and is a predicted model, not a curated record.
CAACAAGAAGAUAUGAUAUAAACUCUCAAAACAUAAUGCAGACACUCAUAUACAAAUACUUAACGAAAGUACAAUAAUCUGGCUGCAGGAUGCGGAUAUUUAUGGGCCUUCAAUUCCUUUGAUGAUGCAACUCAAGGGAAAGCCGGAACUGAGCAACAAUAGGAAGAUGAUUCCAAUUGAAAGCUAUGGUGUUAUGCGUAUAUCGAUUUUGGAUCUCUUGCAGAUGAAAGGGAAGCAAUUGUGUGGAGAGGGCCUAUGGUCACGAAAGCCCUUGAACAGUUGACGAGGGGAGUUGAUUGUGGGGUCCUAGAUGUUCUUGUGAUAGAUAUGCUUCCUGGUACCGGUGAUGCCAUGAGGAUGAAGCUAUUGCAUCAUGUUUAAUUUCAUAUCAAAAACACCCAAAAAAAUUGUGCACCCAUGAAGAGAAAAUCAAAUAUAUCCAUCAUUCAGCUUGUAAGUCAAUAUCCAUAACGCUAAAUGACUGAUGGUGUAACCACUAACCAGAACGACGACCCUCCACUUUCACGACCAUUAAGAUUCUAAAUGUUGAGUCUGGGAAUUGAGGAUUUUCAACGCUGGGUGG